This 460-nucleotide ribosomal RNA is filed under the name uncultured bacterium. RNAcentral's name for it is "partial 16S ribosomal RNA". It matches the Rfam family "Bacterial small subunit ribosomal RNA", at positions 338 to 795 of the family's 1533-position model. The record is from RNAcentral.
CCUACGGGUGGCAGCAGUGAGGAAUAUUGGUCAAUGGACGAGAGUCUGAACCAGCCAAGUCGCGUGAAGGAAGACUGCCCUAUGGGUUGUAAACUUCUUUUAUAUGGGAAUAAAAUGUCCCACGUGUGGGAUGUUGUAUGUACCAAAUGAAUAAGGAUCGGCUAACUCCGUGCCAGCAGCCGCGGUAAUACGGAGGAUCCGAGCGUUAUCCGGAUUUAUUGGGUUUAAAGGGAGCGUAGGUGGAUUGUUAAGUCAGUUGUGAAAGUUUGCGGCUUAACCGUAAAAUUGCAAUUGAAACUGGCAGUCUUGAGUACAGUAGAGGUAGGCGGAAUUCGUGGUGUAGCGGUGAAAUGCUUAGAUAUGACGAAGAACCCCGAUUGCGAAGGCAGCUUACUAGACUGUGACUGACAUUGAUGCUCGAGAGUGUGGGUAGCAAACAGGAUUAGAUACCCCUGUAGUC